RNAcentral lists this ribosomal RNA (886 nucleotides) under uncultured bacterium. RNAcentral describes it as "bacterial SSU rRNA". It matches the Rfam family "Bacterial small subunit ribosomal RNA", at positions 21 to 906 of the family's 1533-position model. The record is from RNAcentral.
GGCUCAGAAUCAACGCUGGCGGCGUGCCUAACACAUGCAAGUCGAACGAGAAAGUGGGGGCAACUCCACAAGUAAAGUGGCAGACGGGUGAGUAACACGUGAACAACCUACCCUCGAGUGUGGAAUAACACCGCGAAAGCGGUGCUAAUACCGCAUAACAUCUUCGGAUCGCAUGAUCUGGAGAUCAAAAGCGAAAGUUGCUUGAGGAGGGGUUCGCGCCUGAUUAGCUAGUUGGUGAGGUAACGGCCCACUAAGGCUGCGAUCAGUAGCCGGCCUGAGAGGGCGAACGGCCACACUGGAACUGAGACACGGUCCAGACUCCUACGGGAGGCAGCAGUGGGGAAUUUUGCGCAAUGGGCGAAAGCCUGACGCAGCAACGCCGCGUGGAGGAUGAAGGCCUUCGGGUCGUAAACUCCUGUCAGUGGGGACGAAUGCUUCGCAAGAAGUUUGACUGUACCCGCUGAGGAAGCCACGGCUAACUCCGUGCCAGCAGCCGCGGUAAUACGGAGGUGGCAAGCGUUGUUCGGAAUUACUGGGCGUAAAGGGCGCGUAGGCGGCAUGGCAAGUCAGAUGUGAAAGCCCCGGGCUUAACUCGGGAAUUGCAUCUGAAACUGCUUUGCUUGAGUCCUGGAUGGGAUAGUGGAAUUCCCAGUGUAGCGGUGAAAUGCGUAGAUAUUGGGAGGAACACCUGCGGCGAAGGCGGCUAUCUGGACAGUGACUGACGCUGAGGCGCGAAAGCUAGGGGAGCGAACGGGAUUAGAUACCCCGGUAGUCCUAGCCGUAAACGAUGGGCACUUGGUGUUGGGGGUAUUGAGUCCCUCGGUGCCGGAGUUAACACGUUAAGUGCCCCGCCUGGGGAGUACGGUCGCAAGACUGAAACUCAAAU